This 1431-nucleotide ribosomal RNA is filed under the name uncultured organism. RNAcentral's name for it is "SSU rRNA". It matches the Rfam family "Bacterial small subunit ribosomal RNA". The record is from RNAcentral.
UGAUGAACGCUAGCGACAGGCUUAACACAUGCAAGUCGAGGGUCAGCGGGGGUAGCGAUACCCGCCGGCGACCGGCGCACGGGUGAGUAACGCGUAUGCAACUUGCCUAUCAGAGGGGGAUAACCCGGCGAAAGUCGGACUAAUACCGCAUGAAGCAGGGGCCCCGCAUGGGGAUAUUUGCUAAAGAUUCAUCGCUGAUAGAUAGGCAUGCGUUCCAUUAGGCAGUUGGCGGGGUAACGGCCCACCAAACCGACGAUGGAUAGGGGUUCUGAGAGGAAGGUCCCCCACAUUGGUACUGAGACACGGACCAAACUCCUACGGGAGGCAGCAGUGAGGAAUAUUGGUCAAUGGCCGAGAGGCUGAACCAGCCAAGUCGCGUGAGGGAUGAAGGUUCUAUGGAUCGUAAACCUCUUUUAUAAGGGAAUAAAGUGCGGGACGUGUCCCGUUUUGUAUGUACCUUAUGAAUAAGGAUCGGCUAACUCCGUGCCAGCAGCCGCGGUAAUACGGAGGAUCCGAGCGUUAUCCGGAUUUAUUGGGUUUAAAGGGUGCGUAGGCGGCCUUUUAAGUCAGCGGUGAAAGUCUGUGGCUCAACCAUAGAAUUGCCGUUGAAACUGGGGGGCUUGAGUAUGUUUGAGGCAGGCGGAAUGCGUGGUGUAGCGGUGAAAUGCAUAGAUAUCACGCAGAACCCCGAUUGCGAAGGCAGCCUGCCAAGCCAUUACUGACGCUGAUGCACGAAAGCGUGGGGAUCAAACAGGAUUAGAUACCCUGGUAGUCCACGCAGUAAACGAUGAUCACUAGCUGUUUGCGAUACACUGUAAGCGGCACAGCGAAAGCGUUAAGUGAUCCACCUGGGGAGUACGCCGGCAACGGUGAAACUCAAAGGAAUUGACGGGGGCCCGCACAAGCGGAGGAACAUGUGGUUUAAUUCGAUGAUACGCGAGGAACCUUACCCGGGUUUGAACGCAUUCGGACCGAGGUGGAAACACCUUUUCUAGCAAUAGCCGUUUGCGAGGUGCUGCAUGGUUGUCGUCAGCUCGUGCCGUGAGGUGUCGGCUUAAGUGCCAUAACGAGCGCAACCCUUGCCACUAGUUACUAACAGGUAAAGCUGAGGACUCUGGUGGGACUGCCAGCGUAAGCUGCGAGGAAGGCGGGGAUGACGUCAAAUCAGCACGGCCCUUACAUCCGGGGCGACACACGUGUUACAAUGGCGUGGACAAAGGGAGGCCACCUGGCGACAGGGAGCGAAUCCCCAAACCACGUCUCAGUUCGGAUCGGAGUCUGCAACCCGACUCCGUGAAGCUGGAUUCGCUAGUAAUCGCGCAUCAGCCAUGGCGCGGUGAAUACGUUCCCGGGCCUUGUACACACCGCCCGUCAAGCCAUGGGAGCCGGGGGUACAUGAAGUCCGUAACCGAAAGGAUCGGCCUAGGGUAA